GGCAGAGAGCUCUUUGGAUGGGUCUGUGGCCCCAGGUCCUGCUCUCUCAGUCUUCAUCCUGACUUUCAUGGUAUGGCAGGACCCCACUAGGUGCCAGCUUCAAGGAUGGGAAGGAGGGAAGGACUGACGGAUACCACCUCAGAGUGAAACAUGCUGUAGCUGAGCAGCAAGGACAGACCUGCCGGUGACCGACAAGAACCUCCAGUCUCGUCUGAGCAGGACAGUGCCUCUGCUCUGCUCCCUUCCUGCCCUCUGCUGCUG
RNAcentral lists this long non-coding RNA (261 nucleotides) under Calidris pygmaea (Spoon-billed sandpiper). Its description in RNAcentral is "lncRNA (ENSCPGG00000017874.1)". The record is from RNAcentral. Lineage: Eukaryota; Metazoa; Chordata; Aves; Charadriiformes; Scolopacidae.